CUAAGGGGAGUUAACGCGCCGCUGCAGCUCAUUGUCAAAGCCAGCUUCAGGCAGAGAACGAAGGAGGGAGCGACUUCGGGGCUGGGUUAAUGUUUUCCCGCAGGCAAGUGGUAGCAGAUGUCAAGGGUUAAGGACAAUUUAGGAGGUAAGAAUUUCCAGGCUGCACUUGUGUCGGGUGCCUCGGGCGAUGAGCCCAGGAGCCCGCUCUCCACGCAGUGACGCUUCCCAAGCUGGUGCUUUAGACCCCUCACUUGCCUGGCUGCUCUGAGGCCCCGUCCCUGAUGGCUUCUGACAAUUUGGUGUCCUUUGUAAAGACGACCUCAGAUCCUAUCAGCUUCAGUUUCACAAAACCUGGAUCCCCUGCCUCUGUGGUAUGUCUGGACUGCCCUGGGCAGGCAGGGCCUGGCUCUGAGAUGAAGAUUUCUCAGCACUGAAGGACCGCCUGCCUUUGAGCUGUGAAACUAGUCUAUCCUCACAUAGACACCAGUAAACUGAGGCUUGAGAGGCUCAAGGACACCCCGGAGGCCACGAAGGGUAGAACUCACUCCCCUGCUUCCAUCCCUGUCUUGCAUUCACUGCUGUGGCUCGGAGAAGCAGAGGGGUCUUGCUUUGGAGUUGUGUGUGUGUGUGCAUAUGUACGUGUAAGGUGUGUACAUGUGUUGCACACGUGUUCAUUGCAUCUGUGCAU
RNAcentral lists this long non-coding RNA (688 nucleotides) under Homo sapiens (human). RNAcentral's name for it is "HSALNT0345232". Lineage: Eukaryota; Metazoa; Chordata; Mammalia; Primates; Hominidae. The record is from RNAcentral.